UUUGAUCCUGGCUCAGAACGAACGCUGGCGGCGCGCCUAAUACAUGCAAGUCGAACGAGAAUGUGUAGCAAUACACAUGUACAGUGGCGAACGGGUGAGGACUACAUGGGUAACCUACCCUCGAGUGGGGAAUAACUAGCCGAAAGGUUAGCUAAUACCGCGUACGCUUCCCGGACUGCGGUUCGGGAAGGAAAGCGAUACCGUGGGUAUCGCGCUCUUGGAUGGGCUCAUGCCCUAUCAGCUUGUUGGUGAGGUAACGGCUCACCAAGGCUUCGACGGGUAGCUGAUCUGAGAGGAUGAUCAGCCACACUGGCACUGCGACACGGGCCAGACUCCUACGGGAGGCAGCAGUAAGGAAUAUUGCGCAAUGGGCGAAAGCCUGACGCAGCGACGCCGCGUGGGGGAUGAAGGUCUUCGGAUUGUAAACCCCUUUCGGGAGGGAAGAUGGAAUGGGGUAACCCAUUCGGACGGUACCUCCAGAAGCAGCCACGGCUAACUUCGUGCCAGCAGCCGCGGUAAUACGAAGGUGGCAAGCGUUGUUCGGAUUUACUGGGCGUACAGGGAGCGUAGGCGGUUGGAUAAGCCCUCCGUGAAAUCUCCAGGCUUAACCUGGAAAGUGCAGAGGGGACUGUUCAGCUAGAGGAUGGGAGAGGAGCGCGGAAUUCCCGGUGUAGCGGUGAAAUGCGCAGAGAUCGGGAGGAAGGNCGGUGGCGAANGCGGCGCUCUGGAACAUUUCUGACGCUGANGCUCGAAAGCGUGGGGAGCAAACAGGAU
Molecule: ribosomal RNA, 774 nt
Filed under: uncultured bacterium
Lineage: Bacteria
Description: bacterial SSU rRNA
Rfam family: Bacterial small subunit ribosomal RNA
Source: RNAcentral